CUGCAUGGAGCCGACCUUGAAAUACCACCCUUUAAUGUUUGAUGUUCUAACGUGGACCCGUGAUCCGGGUUGCGGACAGUGUCUGGUGGGUAGUUUGACUGGGGCGGUCUCCUCCUAAAGAGUAACGGAGGAGCACGAAGGUUGGCUAAUCCUGGUCGGACAUCAGGAGGUUAGUGCAAUGGCAUAAGCCAGCUUGACUGCGAGCGUGACGGCGCGAGCAGGUGCGAAAGCAGGUCAUAGUGAUCCGGUGGUUCUGAAUGGAAGGGCCAUCGCUCAACGGAUAAAAGGUACUCCGGGGAUAACAGGCUGAUACCGCCCAAGAGUUCAUAUCGACGGCGGUGUUUGGCACCUCGAUGUCGGCUCAUCACAUCCUGGGGCUGAAGUAGGUCCCAAGGGUAUGGCUGUUCGCCAUUUAAAGUGGUACGCGAGCUGGGUUUAGAACGUCGUGAGACAGUUCGGUCCCUAUCUGCCGUGGGCGCUGGAGAACUGAGGGGGGCUGCUCCUAGUACGAGAGGACCGGAGUGGACGCAUCACUGGUGUUCGGGUUGUCAUGCCAAUGGCACUGCCCGGUAGCUAAAUGCGGAAGAGAUAAGUGCUGAAAGCAUCUAAGCACGAAACUUGCCCCGAGAUGAGUUCUCC
This 639-nucleotide ribosomal RNA is filed under the name Salmonella enterica. RNAcentral's name for it is "partial 23S ribosomal RNA". It matches the Rfam family "Bacterial large subunit ribosomal RNA", at positions 2176 to 2814 of the family's 2925-position model. The record is from RNAcentral. Lineage: Bacteria; Pseudomonadati; Pseudomonadota; Gammaproteobacteria; Enterobacterales; Enterobacteriaceae.